CCUGGCUGCUGCUCCAGGUGCCCUGGGGCCUGUCCCGGCUACCAGCAUGCCAGACUCAGACUCUGGCUCUGGCUCCUUCGCAGGGUCACCUAUCGGACUCAGACAACGACUCGACGACGUGGACAUCCCCAGCAGCUGUGACCCAGCCAGGCCCAUGCUGCCAGCCGACGCUGACGUGCCACCCCCACUGCCCCCCAAGGUA
This is a long non-coding RNA of Chelonoidis abingdonii (Abingdon island giant tortoise), 202 nucleotides long. RefSeq lists it as uncharacterized. Lineage: Eukaryota; Metazoa; Chordata; Testudines; Testudinidae. The record is from RefSeq and is a predicted model, not a curated record.